Molecule: long non-coding RNA, 491 nt
Organism: Stomoxys calcitrans (stable fly)
Lineage: Eukaryota; Metazoa; Arthropoda; Insecta; Diptera; Muscidae
Exons: 3
Source: RefSeq, a predicted model, not a curated record
AAACUACUCUCGAAUUGUUUAAUGAAUCACUUCUCCGCAUGAGUAGCGGGGUAACGGUUGCGGUUGCGAAAUAGAGAAUUUUCGCGUCUGAUACGUCACUUGAUUCAGGUGGCAUAUCGUUCUUAAUGGACAUCUCAGUCCCGGACUUGCGCCACACUAUUUGCCGGCCUUUAAUGCCAAAAAUACAGAAUUUGCUCUCGUCGGAGAAAAUAAUUUGUUUCCAGAAUUCAGGAGGCUUAUUGAUGAAACAACUCUUCCAUGAAAUCCAACUCUAUGUGAUAUUUUUCUGGCAGUUUCGGCAUAGAUGCUUUUUCAAACAUUGUUUUAAUAUUUUCAACAAUUUUGGUUGAUGUUAUACGAGUGUUGUUGCUUGCCAUAUUAAUCACUUUGCGCUCUUCUCUAACGAAUAAUUUUUUUGGACGCCCAGGCCGAGGCUUUGAAAUUAUAAUGCCGGUUUCUUUGUAAUUAUUAACUACGCGCUGGACAGAAGA